RNAcentral lists this ribosomal RNA (478 nucleotides) under uncultured bacterium. RNAcentral describes it as "bacterial SSU rRNA". It matches the Rfam family "Bacterial small subunit ribosomal RNA", at positions 364 to 841 of the family's 1533-position model. The record is from RNAcentral.
UUUCGCAAUGCCCGAAAGGGUGACCGAGCGACGCCGCGUGUGGGAUGAAGGCUCUCGGGUUGUAAACCACUGUCAGGGGGGAAGAAGGCCCGAAUGGUGAAUUCGGGAGAGACGGUACCCCCAGAGGAAGCCCCGGCUAACUCCGUGCCAGCAGCCGCGGUAACACGGGGGGAGCAACCGUUGUUCGGAAUCAUUGGGCGUAAAGGGCACGUAGGCGGCUUGGCAAGUCCGUCGUGAAACCCCCGGGCUCACCCCGGGGCAUGCGUCGGAUACUGCCGGGCUUGAGUCCAGGAGAGGAGGGUGGAAUUCCCGGUGUAGCGGUGAAAUGCGUAGACAUCGGGAAGAACACCAGUGGCGAAGGCGGCCCUCUGGCCUGUGACUGACGCUGAGGUGCGAAAGCCAGGGGAGCAAACAGGAUUAGAUACCCUGGUAGUCCCGGCCGUAAACGAUGGGCACUAAGUAGAGGGGUUUUAAUCUC